GUAACAUAUCAAAGGGGGUGAAUACUUUUUACAGGCACUGUUGCCAUGCGGUCAUUUUAGGAACAAUAAAUGACCACUAACUAUUUUUUCUAAUAACUAGAAAGUGGAGAACAUCAACACCACCGCCUAAGCCUGGAGGAAACCCCAACAACAUUGAGCAGAACCAAAACAGCCUGUCGAAGUCGCAGGAAGACCUUCAGUACGCCAGCAUCUGGUUCCUGAGGAAGCAGAGAGAUCCUGUGUAUGAAAACUUUCAACCUGGUAAAACCGGCACAGCUGAUCUGGAGGAAGAGGGCGAGCAGAACGUAGAGUACGCUACUGUCAAGUUUGGCCAGAGAACUGAAAACCCAGAACCCGAAGAUGAUUCAAAUGCUUUAUACAGCGUAGUAAAUAAACCUAAACCGGGUAAAUAAUAUCUAUUGCUGUACAAACAUACUUGUGGUCAUCUAGUUGUUCUUUUUUCAUUAUAAUUACCUGUAGCUUUGGCAAUCAGCCUCCAGGUAAACAUUAGGAUGGACCAAAAUGCCCAGAGAAUGGACUUUCUGCUUUGAACUUCCCUUUUACACAUAUUGUCAUUAUUAUUAUUAUUAUUGUUGCUGGGAAAGAAGACGAUUCAACAAAUGUUUCAAAUGAAACAGAAAGUGUAACAUCAUAUAUAUAGAGAAGACAUCAUCUGGAACUGCAUCACAACUGGAAACAGGAAACAAAUUGUUUUGACAAAAAAAAGACCUUUCAAUUGGGAACUGGACGAAAAAAAUAUAUUAAUGAGUGAGUUCUCAAACUUCCCUAAAAGGAGGAAACGUUGGUGAGAGAUACGAGGCAAUGAGAGGAAGUUAAUGGAUUCGCCUCACCCACAGAAACAGUCUUUCUGUUGCAAACUCCUUUUUCCCCCAGAACC
Molecule: long non-coding RNA, 898 nt
Organism: Xiphophorus hellerii (green swordtail)
Lineage: Eukaryota; Metazoa; Chordata; Actinopteri; Cyprinodontiformes; Poeciliidae
Exons: 3
Source: RefSeq, a predicted model, not a curated record